This 164-nucleotide small RNA is filed under the name Enterococcus massiliensis. RNAcentral's name for it is "M-box riboswitch (ykoK leader)". It matches the Rfam family "M-box riboswitch aptamer (ykoK leader)", at positions 11 to 159 of the family's 169-position model. Rfam says of the family: M-box riboswitch, also know as ykoK leader is described as a metaloregulatory RNA that sense divalent metals and function as a genetic control element of genes related to divalent metal transport in bacteria. Lineage: Bacteria; Bacillati; Bacillota; Bacilli; Lactobacillales; Enterococcaceae. The record is from RNAcentral.
AAUAAUUGUUAGGUGAGGCUCCUAUAUAGAAACAAGCUGCUGCCGCGAAAGGAUCGAGAGAUUCUUAGUUUGGUUUGAACAGGGAUAGAUCGUGAAGGUCAUCCAUAAUGCAGCUGAUAGUCAUAAUGACGAUCUACGCUAUAUAGUGCUAAAGCUCUACGAUG